This 505-nucleotide ribosomal RNA is filed under the name uncultured bacterium. Its description in RNAcentral is "partial 16S ribosomal RNA". It matches the Rfam family "Bacterial small subunit ribosomal RNA", at positions 28 to 507 of the family's 1533-position model. The record is from RNAcentral.
GACGAACGCUGGCGGCGUGCCUAAUACAUGCAAGUCGAACGCACAGUUUAUACCGUAGCUUGCUACACCAUAGACUGUGAGUUGCGAACGGGUGAGUAACGCGUAGGUAACCUGCCUGGUAGCGGGUGAUAACUAUUGGAAACGAUAGCUAAUACCGCAUAAUAUUGAUUAUUGCAUGAUAAUUGAUUGAAAGAUGCUAUUUCAUCACUACCAGAUGGAACUGCGUUGUAUUAGCUAGUAGGUGAGGUAACGGCUCACCUAGGCGACGAUACAUAGCCGACCUGAGAGGGUGAUCGGCCACACUGGGACUGAGAACCGGCCCAGACUCCUACGGGAGGCAGCAGUAGGGAAUCUUCGGCAAUGGACGAAAGUCUGACCGAGCAACGCCGCGUGAGUGAAGAAGGGUUUCGGAUCGUAAAGCUCUGUUGUAAGAGAAGAACGGGUGUGGGAGUGGAAAGUUCACACUGUGACGGUAUCUUACCAGAAAGGGACGGCUAACUACGUG